Molecule: ribosomal RNA, 253 nt
Filed under: uncultured bacterium
Lineage: Bacteria
Description: partial 16S ribosomal RNA
Rfam family: Bacterial small subunit ribosomal RNA
Source: RNAcentral
UACGUAGGGGGCAAGCGUUGUCCGGAAUCAUUGGGCGUAAAGAGCGUGUAGGCGGCCCGAUAAGUCCGCUGUGAAAGUCUAGGGCUCAACCCUGGGAUGCCGGUGGAUACUGUCGGGCUCGAGUCCGGAAGAGGAGUGUGGAAUUCCUGGUGUAGCGGUGAAAUGCGCAGAUAUCAGGAGGAACACCAAUGGCGAAGGCAGCACUCUGGGACGUGACUGACGCUGAAACGCGAAAGCGUGGGGAGCAAACAGG